This 714-nucleotide long non-coding RNA is filed under the name Sinocyclocheilus grahami. Its description in RNAcentral is "lncRNA (ENSSGRG00000013807.1)". The record is from RNAcentral. Lineage: Eukaryota; Metazoa; Chordata; Actinopteri; Cypriniformes; Cyprinidae.
UUUUUUUAUAUAAAGGUAUGAUUAUUAAUUGUGCGUCUUCUACCAUUUGUCUUUUCCAGACCGGGUCAAAAUAGGAGACUGACCAUCGCAGGCCCAGGUGGAGGUAGGGGGCGCGGAAUCAAUUUGCUGAGGUAAGAAUCUGUUCUUGUGUUAGAAAAUGCUUGUAAUAAACGCAUGUUGGAUUUGUUCUUAAUGUAUGUCAAACCCUAUCAGGCGUGGACUGUCAGAUAGUGGUGGAGGACCCCCAGCCAAACAGAGAGACAUCGAAGGGGCACUCUUGAGGCUGGCAGGGGACCAGCGAGCCAGGAGAGAUUCACGCCAUGACAGCGAUGCUGAGGAUGAUGACGAUGUCAAAAAACCAGCGUUGCAGUCAUCUGUGGUUGCUACCUCCAAAGAACGUACACGCCGAGAUCUUAUUCAAGAUCAGACAAUGGAUGAGAGAGGAAAGCAGAGGUAAUGCUUUUGUUUUAGGCAAUGUUUGCAAAGCUUUUUUUUAUCAUUUACUUGUUUUUCCACUGCAAAUUUGCUUGAAUGACUAUGUAAAUGUGGAAUUAAAAAAACUAUUGUUUUAUCUCAUUCAGAAACCGGCGCAUGUUUGGCCUGUUGAUGGGAACAUUGCAGAAGUUCAAACAAGAGUCUACAGUGUCCACAGAGCGGGUAGGCUUAAGCUUUGAAUUUCUUUUUUUUUUAAUGCACUGUUCUAUUUCUUGGUUC